CAGCCGCCGCGGUAAAACCAGCACCUCAAGUGGUCAGGAUGAUUAUUGGGCCUAAAGCAUCCGUAGCCUGCUCUGUAAGUUUUCGGUUAAAUCUGUACGCUUAACGUACAGGCUGCCGGGAAUACUGCAGAGCUAGGGAGUGGGAGGGGUAGACGGUACUCGGUAGGAAGGGGUAAAAUCCUUUGAUCUAUUGAUGACCACCUGUGGCGAAGGCGGUCUACCAGAACACGUCCGACGGUGAGGGAUGAAAGCUGGGGGAGCAAACCGGAUUAUAUACCCGGGUAGUCCCAGCUGUAAACUGUGCAAACUCAGUGAUGCAUUGGUUUGUGGCCAACGCAGUGCUGCAGGGAAGCCGUUAAUUUUGCCGCCUGGGAAGCACGUACGCACCCCUGAAACUUAAAGGAAUUGUCUGCGGAGCAC
This 420-nucleotide ribosomal RNA is filed under the name uncultured Nitrososphaerota archaeon. Its description in RNAcentral is "bacterial SSU rRNA". It matches the Rfam family "Archaeal small subunit ribosomal RNA", at positions 459 to 879 of the family's 1478-position model. The record is from RNAcentral. Lineage: Archaea; Thermoproteati; Nitrososphaerota.